GCUCCACUCCUGGUGGUGCCCUUCCGUCAAUUCCUUUAAGUUUCAGCUUUGCAACCAUACUUCCCCCGGAACCCAAAAGCUUUGGUUUCCCGGAAGCUGCCCGCCGAGUCAUCGGAGGAACGUCGGCGGAUCGCUAGCUGGCAUCGUUUAUGGUCAGAACUAGGGCGGUAUCUGAUCGCCUUCGAACCUCUGACUUUCGUUCUUGAUUAAUGAAAACAUUUUUGGCAAAUGCUUUCGCUUCUGUCCGUCUUGCGACGAUCCAAGAAUUUCACCUCUAACGUCGCAAUACGAAUGCCCCCAUCUGUCCCUAUUAAUCAUUACCUCGGGGUUCCGAAAACCAACAAAAUAGAACCGAGGUCCUGUUCCAUUAUUCCAUGCACACAGUAUUCAGGCGAAAUUUUAGCCUGCUUUGAGCACUCUAAUUUGUUCAAAGUAAACGUGCCGGCCCGCCUCGACACUCAAUUAAGAGCACCGCGACAGGAUUAUUGAGUCGGACGGUAAAGCGCCUGCAACCCCACCACAUCAUACAGUAACAACCGAAGUUGCACACGCACAAUGGGGAAGCAUACAGGGUCUACGCGUCCACCGGCAGGACGUUCCGCGGACGUGCCAGUUAAACACCGCGGGCGGUGAACCGACAGCGCGGAACACAAAUUCAACUACGAGCUUUUUAACCGCAACAACUUUAAUAUACGCUAUUGGAGCUGGAAUUACCGCGGCUGCUGGCACCAGACUUGCC
Molecule: ribosomal RNA, 739 nt
Filed under: Typhlocharis sp. 3 aff. baetica CA-2017
Lineage: Eukaryota; Metazoa; Arthropoda; Insecta; Coleoptera; Carabidae
Description: partial 18S ribosomal RNA
Source: RNAcentral